AAAUUUUUUUCUUUGUUUUCAAAAUUCAAGCACUUUAGCAGAUUAGGAAAAUGUUUAAAGGUUUCAUUUUUUUUUUUUUUUCAGAUUAAGGCAAUGUGUUCCUGUAGCAGUAAUCAUUUAAGAAAGUGAUGUUUUUCUCUUUCAGAUCCCUAUUUUCACUCAUUAUUAGAGAGCUGAAUUCUAAAUCAAAGAUUGUGGAGAAGAGAUGUGCAACCUGAAUAAAACAUUUCCAGAAGAGACUGAAUAAUGGUCCUGAAUAAAGGGAACUGAAAUGUUCUUGAAUUGUAAUUGGAAAAAACUCAAGUGUGUGUACUCAGGAGCACAUGUACUAAGAAGAGACAACUAAGCAUUCAGUGUCUUUGCUUCUGGAAUGUGAUGAAACCGCAGAAAGCAGAGAAAAUAAGCAUAUGAAUUCUGGAGUUUUGAUCCUCAGAUGCCAAUUCAAAUUAAUAGCCCAGAAUUACAGUUAUAUUGUUUACAACCUCCACUCCAACAAGAAAACCUGAAUUGGGAAAGAAAUAAUUGUGUCAUAAACAGGGCCGCCCUACCUAUGGAGGUACUGUAUGAUUGAGUCUCUGAUUUCAUCAUGGACACAGCUCUUCCUUAUUCUGGACUUCAGCAUAAAUUACCUUCAUUUUAGGGUAAGCUUCCAGAUUUUACCUGUGUCAGUCCCAUAGCAUCAGAACCAUUCUAUUUUGUAGCUCUUGUUUUAUUUGUAGUAAAUAGUUUUGUGAUAAAUUUCCAUGUCCCAUUUUAGACUAUAAACUAUGUGGGGGCAGCCAGUGUGUACUUUUAGCUGACUCUGUAUCCUCAAUAUUUUCCAAUAUUUGGACAUAGUGGGCAUUUGAUAAAAUUUUUUGAAGAAAAUUCUCAAUGCCUAAGAUAUUUCAUAUAUUUCAUAUAUUUUAAUAACAUGUAAAAUGUUUUUUUUUUGAAAUUGAAAUUGAAAAACUUUUUCAAAUGCAAAUAUGAAUAACAAAGCAUUGUUAAGAUCUUUUUCUCCUGAAU
This 1008-nucleotide long non-coding RNA is filed under the name Sus scrofa (pig). RNAcentral's name for it is "lncRNA (ENSSSCG00070012129.1)". Lineage: Eukaryota; Metazoa; Chordata; Mammalia; Artiodactyla; Suidae. The record is from RNAcentral.